UACGUAGGUGGCAAGCGUUGUCCGGAUUUACUGGGCGUAAAGGGAGCGUAGGUGGAUAUUUAAGUGGGAUGUGAAAUACCCGGGCUCAACUUGGGUGCUGCAUUUCAAACUGGAAGUCUAGAGUGCAGGAGAGGAGAAUGGAAUUCCUAGUGUAGCGGUGAAAUGCGUAGAGAUUAGGAAGAACACCAGUGGCGAAGGCGAUUCUCUGGACUGUAACUGACGCUGAGGCUCGAAAGCGUGGGGAGCAAACAGGAUUAGAUACCCCUGUA
RNAcentral lists this ribosomal RNA (269 nucleotides) under uncultured prokaryote. Its description in RNAcentral is "partial 16S ribosomal RNA". It matches the Rfam family "Bacterial small subunit ribosomal RNA", at positions 524 to 792 of the family's 1533-position model. The record is from RNAcentral.